GCAGACGGCGGAGAGCAGAGAGGGAGCGCGCCUUGGCUCGCUGGCCUUGGCGGCGGCUCCUCAGGAGAGCUGGGGCGCCCACGAGAGGAUCCCUCACCCGGGUCUCUCCUCAGGGAUGACAUCAUCCGUCCACCUCCUUGUCUUCAAGGACCACCUCCUCUCCAUGCUGAGCUGCUGCCAAGGGGCCUGCUGCCCAUCUACACCUCACGAGGGCACUAGGAGCACGGUUUCCUGGAUCCCACCAACAUACAAAGCAGCCACUCACUGACCCCCAGGACCAGGAUGGCAAAGGAUGAAGAGGACCGGAACUGACCAGCCAGCUGUCCCUCUUACCUAAAGACUUAAACCAAUGCCCUAGUGAGGGGGCAUUGGGCAUUAAGCCCUGACCUUUGCUAUGCUCAUACUUUGACUCUAUGAGUACUUUCCUAUAAGUCUUUGCUUGUGUUCACCUGCUAGCAAACUGGAGUGUUUCCCUCCCCAAGGGGGUGUCAGUCUUUGUCGACUGACUCUGUCAUCACCCUUAUGAUGUCCUGAAUGGAAGGAUCCCUUUGGGAAAUUCUCAGGAGGGGGACCUGGGCCAAGGGCUUGGCCAGCAUCCUGCUGGCAACUCCAAGGCCCUGGGUGGGCUUCUGGAAUGAGCAUGCUACUGAAUCACCAAAGGCACGCCCGACCUCUCUGAAGAUCUUCCUAUCCUUUUCUGGGGGAAUGGGGUCGAUGAGAGCAACCUCCUAGGGUUGUUGUGAGAAUUAAAUGAGAUAAAAGAGGCCUCAGGCAGGAUCUGGCAUAGAGGAGGUGAUCAGCAAAUGUUUGUUGAAAAGGUUUGACAGGUCAGUCCCUUCCCACCCCUCUUGCUUGUCUUACUUGUCUUAUUUAUUCUCCAACAGCACUCCAGGCAGCCCUUGUCCACGGGCUCUCCUUGCAUCAGCCAAGCUUCUUGAAAGGCCUGUCUACACUUGCUGUCUUCCUUCCUCACCUCCAAUUUCCUCUUCAACCCACUGCUUCCUGACUCGCUCUACUCCGUGGAAGCACGCUCACAAAGGCACGUGGGCCGUGGCCCGGCUGGGUCGGCUGAAGAACUGCGGAUGGAAGCUGCGGAAGAGGCCCUGAUGGGGCCCACCAUCCCGGACCCAAGUCUUCUUCCUGGCGGGCCUCUCGUCUCCUUCCUGGUUUGGGCGGAAGCCAUCACCUGGAUGCCUACGUGGGAAGGGACCUCGAAUGUGGGACCCCAGCCCCUCUCCAGCUCGAAAUCGUUGAUUAGGAAUCAGCCAACUGUGUUCCCUGGGUGCUCAGAAAUCACAGCCCAUAUCCUCGAGAGGCCAAAAUGAGAGCCAGGGGGUUCCAAGAUGAGUGGCUGCUUCUGGCCGGGAGCAGGUUUUCAAGUCAUUAGAACACUCUGGCCUUUCCUGGAGGUGAUCUUGGAGCCAUUCCUGCCCCUUUCAAGAGGAGUUAAUGCCCAGCUCUGUUUAGAGAAAAUUGGGGGAGAUGAUUGCUCAUGUGGGUGAUAAGAAUCACCUCCCGUGCAGGGGUCUGCAUAGAACACUCCAUAGGCAAACCUGGGUGUCCAAGGCACGUGGCAUUUUGCAAACUCUGGGUGCAGCUCCGAGCUGUCCUGCAGGUCCCAGACCAGCCUCCACAGCCACGGGGACACCCUGCACCUAUUCCCACGGGACAGGCUGGACCCAGAGACUCUGGACCCGGGGCCUCCCCUUGAGUAGAGACCCGCCCUCUGACUGAUGGACGCCGCUGACCUGGGGUCAGACCCGUGGGCUGGACCCCUGCCCACCCCGCAGGAACCCUGAGGCCUAGGGGAGCUGUUGAGCCUUCAGUGUCUGCAUGUGGGAAGUGGGCUCCUUCACCUACCUCACAGGGCUGUUGUGAGGGGCGCUGUGAUGCGGUUCCAAAGCACAGGGCUUGGCGCACCCCACUGUGCUCUCAAUAAAUGUGUUUCC
This is a long non-coding RNA of Homo sapiens (human), 1949 nucleotides long. Ensembl annotates it as maternally expressed 3. Its record names the gene MEG3. Lineage: Eukaryota; Metazoa; Chordata; Mammalia; Primates; Hominidae. The record is from Ensembl.